CUGCUGCUGGGCCAGAUCCUCUACACCCCACACACCCCUCUGACGGAGAAGAUCAUCCACCAGGUGAACCGUACGUUCCAGGAGCUGGCCGUGUUCCGGGAUCUGGGCGGGAUGUGGACGAGAUGAAACCCAGAGUCUGGGACUUCAUGGAGAACAGCGAGCAGAUGAACCUCUUCAGGAGUCUGCUGAGGAACAACGUGACGGCUCGGUACUUCGGGGCGCAGCUCGCAGACACUGACUGGACGGUGGCGGACGUGACUCACUUCCUGUCCAGACGGGAGAGAGGCGGCAGUCAGCAGGGGGCGCUCUGACCUGGAGAGACGUGUUCAACGAGACGGACCAGGCCAUCGCCAGCAUCUCACGCUUCAUGGAGGUCAGGACGAGAAAGACACAAAUACACUUCAUUCAGGAAGGUCUACAGGGUUCUGUCCAGCAAAUUCAGCUGAAGCCGAGACUCAAACCCUCGAUGGAAGUUUGACCGAUGAGCGAUAAUGACCCCGUAUCCAUAUUUAUAUUUGCACCUGAUCCGCCCAUAGUCUACAAACUCCUCCAAACCGCUCA
This 561-nucleotide long non-coding RNA is filed under the name Neogobius melanostomus (round goby). Its description in RNAcentral is "lncRNA (ENSNMLG00000000867.1)". The record is from RNAcentral. Lineage: Eukaryota; Metazoa; Chordata; Actinopteri; Gobiiformes; Gobiidae.